Non-coding RNA from Cordylochernes scorpioides, 70 nucleotides. The record is from the annotation of a GenBank genome assembly. Lineage: Eukaryota; Metazoa; Arthropoda; Arachnida; Pseudoscorpiones; Chernetidae.
GUCCAGGGUAGCCUAGUGGACAUGGCAUCUGCCCGGUAAGCGGAACACUGUAAGUUCGAUUCUCUAGACA